This 1382-nucleotide long non-coding RNA is filed under the name Oryzias javanicus (javanese ricefish). RNAcentral describes it as "lncRNA (ENSOJAG00000012962.1)". Lineage: Eukaryota; Metazoa; Chordata; Actinopteri; Beloniformes; Adrianichthyidae. The record is from RNAcentral.
CUCGGACGUCCUGCAAGUCUUUCUUCAGCUUUCUUCAUGCUAGAAUGUUUAGCUUCUUCAGGCUCUGCUCCUUGCUCGCUUUGCAGAGACCCAGCUGCUGAUUUCAUUGCUGCUCACCGCCUCUCAGAUGUGCUUCUGAAGGUCAGUCUGGAUGAGACCGCGUCCAAACGCUCCAUGCUGGGCCUCGGACCCACGCAGGCGGGGGGCGUGUCUGGAUGGCCUACAGAGCUCCGAACAGAUUUGUCCACAGGACUUCUGACAAUGACCCAGUUUGGACAGAGGGAUGGUGCAGAAACAAAGGCUGCCCCAGUGGUGGAUGACCCUGUGCAGAGUGAAGGAGUCGACAGCGACCGUUUCAGCAGUAACUCCAGCUUCCUCGCUAAUGAAAAGCUCAUGUCUGUGGACAGUUUAAGCAGCAAUGCGACAGAUGAUGAUGAUGACCUGAACAACCUGCCUGAAGAUGAGCUGGAGGUCUACUUCAAUCAGCUGGUCCCUCUGUCGAUGCAGAGGGGCAGAGUGGAGGGUCAGGAGAUCCCUGUUGCUGUGAGGCUCCUUCUGUCCAAAGCAGAUGACGCUUUCUGACCAAGAAGCAGAAUUCUUAGAGCGGUCGCCGUCGUUCAUAGCGAUGUGUUGCUGUGAUCCACAGGGAGGGGUUGGUGCUGCAGAUGAAUCCGACUCCAGUUCUGUGGAGAUGGAACAGCACAGACACCUGUUUGUUGACGGUCAUGAUCAAGUAAGUGCUUCUGUUAUUCCUGUUGGCUCUCCUUCUCUAUGUGGAGGAUGAUUCUGAUCAGGAAGUGGUCUUUGGUGUUAUUGAUGUUCCUUUUCUUCUCUUGGAUCCAAUCACUGAAAUGAAUCCAGACGCUUUGAUGUUUCUUUGGUGUUUCUGCAGGAAGACUUCCAGAUGCCCAACGUGCGCCUGGCUGCUACAGGUAUGGAUUCCUGCCCAGCAAGUGAUGAAGACACCGAUGACGAGCAGAAAUCUGCCAGAAGGAGCAGUAGUUCUUCCAGGCCACGGCUACUUCCAAGCACAUCCCGACAGCUGGUUAGGGAUCUUUUUUUUUUCUUGUCCCCCCGUCAUACGGUCAGUGGUGGUUGGAUCUGCUGUCUGUGCUGAGCAACAGCUUUCUCAACAGGUUGGAGAGAGUCACCGUCCAAGCUUCAGGCCGGGCCUGGAAGGAGGCAGCUCUGAUGAGGAGGCUUCCUCUGGGCGCGCUGCUCCUUCGCCGUCUGCCAUCGAGCACAGAAGAUCUGCUGAGGGUCAGGUCAUCAACCCCCCCAUUACAGGUGCAGCACACCUUCAUUUUGUGUUGUAGCUGCAGACCGGUACCGGGCCACAGGAUUUAAAAAAAAAAAAAAAAACACACAACCCACAUUUUUCC